UAUUUUUCUAAUUUUUUUCUUUUUAAUCAGCUUGUACAUAACUAAAAGAGAGUUACACCGAACCUGCCUAAGUUUUUUCUUUCUUUGCUUGAACCAAAACGUAUUUCUAUUCUUUAUUACUUAAACCGAACUGGGUCACACUUCUGUAUUAGGCUAAACUGUUUCUUUUCCUUCGACUGUUAGUUUCGUUCAUCAGCAAAAUGAAUCUCGCCUCUUAUCAUCGCCUUUUCCGUUGCCCUUUUUUUCGAUAUCUUUUUAUUUUUUUAUUUUUUCUUUAAUUAUAUACCAUCGCAUCACACUGGUUAUUACACUAGUAAAGCUCUAAGUCUACUAUAGUGACAGC
RNAcentral lists this long non-coding RNA (343 nucleotides) under Ananas comosus (pineapple). RNAcentral describes it as "long non-coding RNA (ACOM_LNC011220)". The record is from RNAcentral. Lineage: Eukaryota; Viridiplantae; Streptophyta; Magnoliopsida; Poales; Bromeliaceae.